This 793-nucleotide ribosomal RNA is filed under the name Staphylococcus aureus. RNAcentral's name for it is "partial 23S ribosomal RNA". It matches the Rfam family "Bacterial large subunit ribosomal RNA", at positions 1422 to 2211 of the family's 2925-position model. Lineage: Bacteria; Bacillati; Bacillota; Bacilli; Caryophanales; Staphylococcaceae. The record is from RNAcentral.
UAACAGGUUGAUAUUCCUGUACCACCUAUAAUCGUUUUAAUCGAUGGGGGGACGCAGUAGGAUAGGCGAAGCGUGCGAUUGGAUUGCACGUCUAAGCAGUAAGGCUGAGUAUUAGGCAAAUCCGGUACUCGUUAAGGCUGAGCUGUGAUGGGGAGAAGACAUUGUGUCUUCGAGUCGUUGAUUUCACACUGCCGAGAAAAGCCUCUAGAUAGAAAAUAGGUGCCCGUACCGCAAACCGACACAGGUAGUCAAGAUGAGAAUUCUAAGGUGAGCGAGCGAACUCUCGUUAAGGAACUCGGCAAAAUGACCCCGUAACUUCGGGAGAAGGGGUGCUCUUUAGGGUUAACGCCCAGAAGAGCCGCAGUGAAUAGGCCCAAGCGACUGUUUAUCAAAAACACAGGUCUCUGCUAAACCGUAAGGUGAUGUAUAGGGGCUGACGCCUGCCCGGUGCUGGAAGGUUAAGAGGAGUGGUUAGCUUCUGCGAAGCUACGAAUCGAAGCCCCAGUAAACGGCGGCCGUAACUAUAACGGUCCUAAGGUAGCGAAAUUCCUUGUCGGGUAAGUUCCGACCCGCACGAAAGGCGUAACGAUUUGGGCACUGUCUCAACGAGAGACUCGGUGAAAUCAUAGUACCUGUGAAGAUGCAGGUUACCCGCGACAGGACGGAAAGACCCCGUGGAGCUUUACUGUAGCCUGAUAUUGAAAUUCGGCACAGCUUGUACAGGAUAGGUAGGAGCCUUUGAAACGUGAGCGCUAGCUUACGUGGAGGCGCUGGUGGGAUACUACCCUAGCUG